Molecule: ribosomal RNA, 253 nt
Filed under: uncultured bacterium
Lineage: Bacteria
Description: partial 16S ribosomal RNA
Rfam family: Bacterial small subunit ribosomal RNA
Source: RNAcentral
UACAGAGGGUGCGAGCGUUAUUCGGAAUUACUGGGCGUAAAGCGCACGUAGGUGGCGACGUAAGUCGGGUGUGAAAGCCCCGGGCUCAACCUGGGAAUUGCAUUCGAGACUGCAUUGCUGGAGUACGGAAGAGGAGGGCGGAAUUCCCGGUGUAGCGGUGAAAUGCGUAGAUAUCGGGAGGAACAUCAGUGGCGAAGGCGGCCCUCUGGGCCAUUACUGACACUCAAGUGCGAAAGCGUGGGGAGCAAACAGG